UACGUAGGGAGCAAGCGUUGUCCGGAUUCAUUGGGCGUAAAGGUCUCGUAGGCGGCGCAACAAGUCACUUGUGAAAUCUCCGGGCUUAACCCGGAGCGGCCAAGUGAUACUGUCGUGCUAGAGUGCGGAAGGGGCUACUGGAAUUCUCGGUGUAGCGGUGAAAUGCGUAGAUAUCGAGAGGAACACCUGCGGCGAAGGCGGGUAGCUGGGCCGACACUGACGCUGAGGCGCGAAAGCCAGGGGAGCGAACGGG
This 253-nucleotide ribosomal RNA is filed under the name uncultured bacterium. RNAcentral's name for it is "partial 16S ribosomal RNA". It matches the Rfam family "Bacterial small subunit ribosomal RNA", at positions 524 to 776 of the family's 1533-position model. The record is from RNAcentral.